GACGAACGCUGGCGGCGUGCUUAACACAUGCAAGUCGAACGGAAAGUCCCUGCUUUUGUGGGGUGCUCGAGUGGCGAACGGGUGAGUAACACGUGAGUAACCUGCCCUUGACGUUGGGAUAACUUCAGGAAACUUGUGCUAAUACCGGAUAGGAGCUCCUGCUGCUUGGUGGGGGUGGGAAAGUUUCGGCGGUUGGGGAUGGACUCGCGGCUUAUCAGCUUGUUGGUGGGGUAGUGGCUUACCAAGGCUUUGACGGGUAGCCGGCCUGAGAGGGUGACCGGCCACAUUGGGACUGAGAUACGGCCCAGACUCCUACGGGAGGCAGCAGUGGGGAAUAUUGCACAAUGGGCGGAAGCCUGAUGCAGAAACGCCGCGUGCGGGAUGACGGCCUUCGGGUUGUAAACCGCUUUCGCCUGUGACGAAGCGUGAGUGACGGUAAUGGGUAAAGAAGCACCGGCUAACUACGUG
Molecule: ribosomal RNA, 468 nt
Filed under: uncultured bacterium
Lineage: Bacteria
Description: partial 16S ribosomal RNA
Rfam family: Bacterial small subunit ribosomal RNA
Source: RNAcentral